UAGGGAAUCUUCCGCAAUGGACGCAAGUCUGACGGAGCAACGCCGCGUGAGUGAAGAAGGAUUUCGGUUCGUAAAACUCUGUUGUUAGAGAAGAACAGCGCAUAGAGUAACUGUUAUGCGUGUGACGGUAUCUAACCAGAAAGCCACGGCUAACUACGUGCCAGCAGCCGCGGUAAUACGUAGGUGGCAAGCGUUGUCCGGAUUUAUUGGGCGUAAAGCGAGCGCAGGCGGUCAAUUAAGUCUGAUGUGAAAGCCCCCGGCUCAACCGGGGAGGGUCAUUGGAAACUGGUUUACUUGAGUGCAGAAGAGGAGAGUGGAAUUCCAUGUGUAGCGGUGAAAUGCGUAGAUAUAUGGAGGAACACCAGUGGCGGAGGCGACUCUCUGGUCUGUAACUGACGCUGAGGUUCGAAAGCGUGGGUAGCCAACAGG
RNAcentral lists this ribosomal RNA (429 nucleotides) under Bacteroidota bacterium. RNAcentral describes it as "Bacteroidetes bacterium partial 16S ribosomal RNA". It matches the Rfam family "Bacterial small subunit ribosomal RNA", at positions 355 to 776 of the family's 1533-position model. Lineage: Bacteria; Pseudomonadati; Bacteroidota. The record is from RNAcentral.